CCUACGGGUGGCAGCAGUGAGGAAUAUUGGUCAAUGGCCGCGGGUCUGAACCAGCCAAGUAGCGUGAAGGAUGACUGCCCUAUGGGUUGUAAACUUCUUUUAUAUGGGAAUAAAAUGUUCCACGUGUGGGGUUUUGUGUGUACCUUAUGAAAAAGAAUCGGCUAACUCCGUGCCAGCAGCCGCGGUAAUACGGAGGAUCCGAGCGUUAUCCGGAUUUAUUGGGUUUAAAGGGAGCGUAGGUGGAUUGUUAAGUCAGUGGUGAAAGUUUGCGGCUCAACCGUAAAAGUGCAGUUGAAACUGGCAGUCUUGAGUACAGUAGAGGUGUGCGGAAUUCGUGGUGUAGCGGUGAAAUGCUUAGAUAUCACGAAGAACUCCGAUUGCGAAGGCAGCUCACUGGACUGCAACUGACACUGAGGCUCGAAAGUGUGGGUAUCAAACAGGAUUAGAUACCCUUGUAGUC
Molecule: ribosomal RNA, 460 nt
Filed under: uncultured bacterium
Lineage: Bacteria
Description: partial 16S ribosomal RNA
Rfam family: Bacterial small subunit ribosomal RNA
Source: RNAcentral